This is a non-coding RNA of Microcebus murinus (gray mouse lemur), 385 nucleotides long. NCBI's taxonomy places the organism in Eukaryota, Metazoa, Chordata, Mammalia, Primates, Cheirogaleidae. The record is from RefSeq and is a predicted model, not a curated record.
CACUGUCUCUGGCCAAGUCAUUGAGGUCAUAAGGCCUAUUAUUACCAUGCAACAAAACUAGCACCACAUUAAAAUAUGACCACUCUUGAGCUCACCUGUAUGUGGGAUCUAAAAAAGCCAAACUCAUGGAAGCAGAGAGUAAAAUGGUGGUAGGCAGAGGCGAAGAUGGGGAACCUGAGAGGUGAAAGAACUUACCCAGGGCCACAAAACUUGCCGCUGGCUGACCCGGGACUGGAACCCAAGGCUUUGUGUAAAUAUUUAUGGAUUUAGGUACCAAAGUGGAAAGCUCCCGAUGUCUAAAGAGCAGCUGGCACAAGAAUUGCUGCCUGCAGGCACUCCUGUCCCCCCAGCAUGUGUCCGUGGGCGGCUCUGGAGCUAGCCAGGC